Molecule: ribosomal RNA, 468 nt
Filed under: uncultured bacterium
Lineage: Bacteria
Description: bacterial SSU rRNA
Rfam family: Bacterial small subunit ribosomal RNA
Source: RNAcentral
CCUACGGGAGGCAGCAGUGGGGAAUAUUGCGCAAUGGGCGAAAGCCUGACGCAGCAACGCCGCGUGAGUGAUGAAGGCCUUCGGGUCGUAAAGCUCUGUUAAGGGGGACGAAUGACCGCUGGGAACAAUACCCUGGCGGCUUGACGGUACCUCUAGAGGAAGCACCGGCUAACUCCGUGCCAGCAGCCGCGGUAAUACGGAGGGUGCAAGCGUUGUUCGGAAUUACUGGGCGUAAAGCGCGUGUAGGCGGAUCCGGAAGUCGGGUGUGAAAGCCCUGGGCUCAACCCAGGAAGUGCGCCCGAAACCACGGGUCUAGAGGUUCGGAGAGGAUCGGGGAAUUCCCAGUGUAGAGGUGAGAUUCGUAGAUAUUGGGAAGAACACCGGUGGCGAAGGCGCCGAUCUGGACGGAUCCUGACGCCGAGACGCGAAAGCGUGGGUAGCAAACAGGAUUAGAUACCCCAGUAGUCC